GUCUCAUUCUGCUGUCCAGGCUGGAAUGCAGUGGCAUGAUCUUGGCUCUAAGCUUGCUACCUAAUCUAUGAUGGUAGUCUGCAUUUGAAAAAAAUUGUUGAGUAGACCAGACUGAAGGAAUACUCUAGAAUCCUAUCUCCUUUGUCUGCUAGGCCUUUCCCCCAGAAAUUCUGCAAGUUUUACCUCCUGGGUUCCAGUGAUUCUCCUGCCUCAGCCACCAGAGUAGCUGGGAUUACAAGUGCCCACCACCACACCUGAUUAAUUUUUGUAUUUUAGUGGAGAUGAGGUUUCACCAUGUUGGCCAGGCUGGUCUUAAACUCCUGCCUGGCUCUACUGCUGGGUAGACCUUGUCUUAAAGCAGAUCAUCACAUGGCAAAGUGGUGAUUCCACGUGCACUCUGGCCCUCUUCCUAACGGCUGUCAGUGGAGCCUGAGACCUCGUGAAAUCAACAAUGUGGCCAAGGUCCGAGCCGAGGAAAGUGAAGGCUGCUGUCAAAGAUAUCCUGCUGCAAACAGACGGGGGCUGGGCGCCCACCCUUCUCUUCCUGGGUUUCCAUCCUGCAACUUCCUGUGGCUGCUUUGAUGACAAGGCUCCACUUCCGAGAUCCCUGCAUUGACUCUCAGCCAAUGGAAGGGAAAGACUUCUUGAGUCUACACCAUGUAGCCAGAAGGUGGGUGACCUUGAUGCUCUUCUCCCAGUUCAAAGACCGGGUGCCAUAGCCCAAGGGAAGCCUGUGCUCAGCAGAGUCCUAUUAAGCCUUACUCAGGUUCAUGACCCUGGCUGAGCAUUAGAAUUAAUGGGGGAGUUAAAAAACAUCCACAUCAGGACGCUGUCUUCAGGGAGCCUGAGUUAACUCAACUGAGCCAGGCCUGGCAACUGCAAUUUUUGGAGUGUCCUAACGAUUACUUUGUGCAGCCAGGGUUUGGAACCACAGUUCCAGCCCUGUCCCUGGGCUGCCCCAAGGGACUGCAGGCCAUCCUUCCCGAUGUCUCUGUGAAUUGUGGGUAACCUGAGCUGUGUUUAAAGGCCUCCCAAGGGUGUUUUUCCCUGUGCCUAUAGCCCCAUGUUGGUCUUUGUGGAGGGCCCCUGAGGAGCCCCAGAGUCCACAGAAAAACCCCAAUUCCAUAAAGACUCUCAUCGGCAAUCUCCACACCGCCCGCACCGACUCCUCCAUUGUAGAUUUUUUCCUUUCCUCUUCUUUUUUCUUUUCUAAAUUCUAAGUUCCUGACAACCACUAAGAUGUCUCAGAGGCAGAAACUAGCUUUGAUCCACUGUCAGCAGAUCUGAAAACUACAAAUUUUGUUUUUUAUAAUUUCUCAAAAUCUCCCUUCUCUGAAGUCCUCC
RNAcentral lists this long non-coding RNA (1344 nucleotides) under Callithrix jacchus (white-tufted-ear marmoset). Its description in RNAcentral is "lncRNA (ENSCJAG00000082038.1)". The record is from RNAcentral. Lineage: Eukaryota; Metazoa; Chordata; Mammalia; Primates; Cebidae.